CCUGUGGGAGGAGUCGUUGUGUUGCUGUUAGGAGUUUGGGUCGGAGUCCUGGGUUUGUGUUCCCUUUAAUCUCUUCAUUAGCCUUGCUAGUCACCAUUGCAGAGCACCAUGGAGAGGCUUACCUGAAAACUCUUCUCAUGGGGCAGGCACAUCCUCACACACCUGUAACCCCAUCCUUGAAUAAAAGCUGGUAGCUGGUCACUCAUCAGUGUUUUAACCCAUAUCUAGCCCAUGACUCUGCCGUUUUUCAAACUUACGUUCUCAUGUUCUAUGCAGAUCUAUGGGAAUUCUUUCCUUGAAGCUCCUGAUCACACAACCAUACUGGCAGUCGGCUUACCCACUACCUUCUGCUCACCCGCUUGCUACUCAUGCUGUCAUUCUCCCAGACUUCUGGUUGUUUCUCCACCAUUCUGCUGUCUCCCGUCUGCGCUACAAUUUCAGACCGUAAGUACCUAAACUUUUCCUUUUGUAAGUCAUUCUUUAGUCAUUACUAACACUCAAUUUUACCUCAGGGCCUUCUGAUCUUUAAACACUAAAACCUGUGGCUCCAUCUCUGUGGCGUUUCUCAGACUCUAAGCUUCUGGUUCCUGAUCUCCAGCAGUUACCUCUUCAGUCAUCCGUCAAACAUUUUAAUAAACUGUUUUUAGCUCA
This is a non-coding RNA of Nothobranchius furzeri (turquoise killifish), 651 nucleotides long. The record is from RefSeq and is a predicted model, not a curated record. NCBI's taxonomy places the organism in Eukaryota, Metazoa, Chordata, Actinopteri, Cyprinodontiformes, Nothobranchiidae.